This 74-nucleotide transfer RNA is filed under the name Streptomyces albogriseolus. RNAcentral's name for it is "tRNA-Arg". It matches the Rfam family "tRNA". Rfam says of the family: Transfer RNA (tRNA) molecules are approximately 80 nucleotides in length. Their secondary structure includes four short double-helical elements and three loops (D, anti-codon, and T loops). Further hydrogen bonds mediate the characteristic L-shaped molecular structure. tRNAs have two regions of fundamental functional importance: the anti-codon, which is responsible for specific mRNA codon recognition, and the 3' end, to which the tRNAs corresponding amino acid is attached (by aminoacyl-tRNA synthetases). tRNAs cope with the degeneracy of the genetic code in two manners: having more than one tRNA (with a specific anti-codon) for a particular amino acid; and 'wobble' base-pairing, i.e. permitting non-standard base-pairing at the 3rd anti-codon position. The record is from RNAcentral. RNAcentral also lists the same sequence under 153 other names. Lineage: Bacteria; Bacillati; Actinomycetota; Actinomycetes; Kitasatosporales; Streptomycetaceae.
GCCCCCGUAGCUCAGGGGAUAGAGCAACGGCCUCCGGAGCCGUGUGCGCAGGUUCGAAUCCUGCCGGGGGCACC